RNAcentral lists this ribosomal RNA (2129 nucleotides) under Triticum aestivum (bread wheat). Its description in RNAcentral is "partial small subunit ribosomal RNA". The record is from RNAcentral. Lineage: Eukaryota; Viridiplantae; Streptophyta; Magnoliopsida; Poales; Poaceae.
UACGCGUAAGGGGUUAAGGGUUAGGAUAGCGGUGUUGUGCUGCGCUGCGUGUGAAGAGGUGAGAGACCUUGAGAGCGGUACGAAGGCCGAGAGCGGCGGCGGAGCGGCUGCGACGUUUGGAGAGCGGGCCAGAGGGCGGAGGCCGCGUUGGUGGCUGUGGUAGUGCCACAAGUAGAAGUGGAGGUGGUGGCGAAGGGAGGGAAUCGGCGGCUGCCGCCCCCAGCGCCAGCGAAAGAGGACCAGCCGUGUAUGCGGCGAAGACUACCAUCGCGUCCUGUCCUACAACCAUCAGGGCUCUCGUACCGUUUAAGUCCUAGACGUAUACAACCAGAGAAACAGGCUUACGAACCGAACCUAUUACUGCGAGUACUAUCCCUUGUACGAUAAACGUGUGAGACCGUAAUGAGGGAACCACCUGUCUUCACGUAGCUACUCUAUUACGUCAAGGGUCCAACGUAGUCGGAGUAGUAGUCGGAGGAUUUCAGUCUCAGACGAACACGAACACUUCGUCGCCGUCCGGAACACGUAUUAUAUUGAAGUCACUUCAAUAUGUCCCUACACCGUUAACUCUCACCUCGUUACCUUCUUUAGAAAUCGACAUAGGCAUUUAGGUGCUAUUGGGGUCUCUAUUUCCUCGUCACAAACACAUGGUAAACCUUGAAGAGACAACUGCUUUUAAACUCUAUGUUCGAAAACCCCUCACUAUACGAUUAUGGUUAUCAAUCCAAGGAUCUACUACUUCUGUAUUUUCACUUUCUUCAACGACGAUCAUAGUGUAGUAUAAAUUGAAAUUCAGUAAGAAUAGUACCUCGAGACCAGCUUCGACCACAUUAAGGUUUUGACCAAGUAGAAGACGUUUGGUUUCUGCUACUAAUAUUUUCAUAGUCUUUCCUUCGAUCUUCCAGCGAGCACCUUGAUAGGUGCCUACUAUCAAUGGUACGGGAAUAUCACCCAGUCCCAGAUCAGGCCUAAGGAGACCAACCGAGUAGGCGAAUAUUUCGGAAGUCUGGAGUUGGAGUAAGUACCGGGAGAAAAGGACUACCGAGCCUUUAAGUUGCCUCAAGAGCCGGAAGUUUUAUACCACGUUGACUUAACGAAGAACCGGACUAAGAUUUACUCUUCUUUCGUCUCGGUCUACUUCGAUUUUAAUUACGAUACUAUCCCGCAAGAUUAGUCGUUAAAGAACGUGCGCAACCUCGAUAACUCAAACUAAUACUUCCCUUUCUUGUUAGACCUAGAGUUUCCUUACUAGUGGUGUGGUAGAAUGGAACCUAUCUACCACAACGUGCCGAUCAAAAUUAUUAACCAGAGGUUCUACAGAGACGUUAACGUUUCCGACGAGUACGUUAGCCACUACGUAGUCAUUUACUUGUGUACGCGUGAAGUAAGUACCUUCGACCCCGACACUUUAGAAAUGAAGUCAACGACUACGUAUUACUACAUGGACAGUCUCUUCGCUCACGAAUACGUAACCUUUUUGAUUCACAGUCAAGGCUUCAAACACUCUUCUAGUCUCAUCUUCUACCGGCUCUCGACGAACAUUUACAUGACUUCCUAAGUCUAUGGGGUCAUCUUGUUAACCUCUUCUAUUAGGUAUAUGAAAGAGCUUAUGAACUAUACCUCCAGUCGUACUAAUGACGCGGACUAAUGAUACGAUCAUGACCCAGACUCCUAUAUCGCCUGCUACUCUUCACGUCAGUUCCAUUACAUCUACCACUCGAGUUACCUUGCAGGGUUUUAAAUAACUUUGUUCUGCUCAACCUAUCAACAUCGCUAAGUUAGAAACUGGAACUACAGUAGAGUGCGAAUUAGUUUCAAGAAUUCUUAGUAGAGGUUCGGACGUUCUUUUUACACGAUGAGAGGACCUCGUAAAUCGUCGAACACUCGUUGUACCGUGACGUUACUGACGACGGGCUAGACUCAGUCAUUAACUUCGACAAGAUCUUUACCCCCAAUAAGUACCAUUAAUCAAACUAAGUAAAUACGUAUUUGUAAUAUCUACGUUUACGUCUGAAUUGAAGAACUGAAUAAAACAUUGGUAGGUGGUUUAUCUAGCUCAAAACUUAAACCAAUGAAGGUGAGACUUAUUCAAGCACUCAAAAUGUCCUCGUUUACUUAUUCCGGUAAGC